Molecule: ribosomal RNA, 253 nt
Filed under: uncultured bacterium
Lineage: Bacteria
Description: partial 16S ribosomal RNA
Rfam family: Bacterial small subunit ribosomal RNA
Source: RNAcentral
UACAGAGGGGGCAAGCGUUGUUCGGAAUUACUGGGCGUAAAGGGCGCGUAGGCGGCCCGCUAAGUCGAACGUGAAAUCCCCGGGCUCAACCCGGGAACUGCGUCCGAUACUGGCAGGCUUGAAUCCGGGAGAGGGAUGCGGAAUUCCAGGUGUAGCGGUGAAAUGCGUAGAUAUCUGGAGGAAUACCGAUGGCGAAGGCAGCCCCCUGGGUCAAUACUGACGCUCAUGCACGAAAGCGUGGGGAGCAAACAGG